GAGGAGUGGCGAACGGGUGAGUAACACGUGGGUAACCUGCCCAUCAGAAGGGGAUAACACUUGGAAACAGGUGCUAAUACCGUAUAACAAUCGAAACCGCAUGGUUUUGAUUUGAAAGGCGCUUUCGGGUGUCGCUGAUGGAUGGACCCGCGGUGCAUUAGCUAGUUGGUGAGGUAACGGCUCACCAAGGCCACGAUGCAUAGCCGACCUGAGAGGGUGAUCGGCCACAUUGGGACUGAGACACGGCCCAAACUCCUACGGGAGGCAGCAGUAGGGAAUCUUCGGCAAUGGACGAAAGUCUGACCGAGCAACGCCGCGUGAGUGAAGAAGGUUUUCGGAUCGUAAAACUCUGUUGUUAGAGAAGAACAAGGAUGAGAGUAACUGUUCAUCCCUUGACGGUAUCUAACCAGAAAGCCACGGCUAACUACGUGCCAGCAGCCGCGGUAAUACGUAGGUGGCAAGCGUUGUCCGGAUUUAUUGGGCGUAAAGCGAGCGCAGGCGGUUUCUUAAGUCUGAUGUGAAAGCCCCCGGCUCAACCGGGGAGGGUCAUUGGAAACUGGGAGACUUGAGUGCAGAAGAGGAGAGUGGAAUUCCAUGUGUAGCGGUGAAAUGCGUAGAUAUAUGGAGGAACACCAGUGGCGAAGGCGGCUCUCUGGUCUGUAACUGACGCUGAGGCUCGAAAGCGUGGGGAGCAAACAGGAUUAGAUACCCUGGUAGUCCACGCCGUAAACGAUGAGUGCUAAGUGUUGGAGGGUUUCCGCCCUUCAGUGCUGCAGC
Molecule: ribosomal RNA, 777 nt
Filed under: Enterococcus durans
Lineage: Bacteria; Bacillati; Bacillota; Bacilli; Lactobacillales; Enterococcaceae
Description: bacterial SSU rRNA
Rfam family: Bacterial small subunit ribosomal RNA
Source: RNAcentral